RNAcentral lists this ribosomal RNA (425 nucleotides) under uncultured bacterium. RNAcentral describes it as "partial 16S ribosomal RNA". It matches the Rfam family "Bacterial small subunit ribosomal RNA", at positions 354 to 796 of the family's 1533-position model. The record is from RNAcentral.
GUGGGGAAUCUUGCGCAAUGGGCGAAAGCCUGACGCAGCCAUGCCGCGUGGAUGAUGAAGGUCUUAGGAUUGUAAAAUCCUUUCACCGGUGAAGAUAAUGACUGUAGCCGGAGAAGAAGCCCCGGCUAACUACGUGCCAGCAGCCGCGGUAAUACGUAGGGGGCGAGCGUUGUCCGGAGUUACUGGGCGUAAAGGGCGUGUAGGCGGUUGAAAAAGUCGGGUGUGAAAUGCUUCAGCUCAACUGGAGCGCUGCGCUCGAAACUUUUCGACUGGAGUUCAGAAGGGGGAACUGGAAUUCCUGGUGUAACGGUGAAAUGUGUAGAGAUCAGGAGGAACAUCUGUGGCGAAGGCGGGUUACUGGUCUGAAACUGACGCUGAGACGCGAAAGCGUGGGGAGCAAACAGGAUUAGAUACCCGAGUAGUCC